RNAcentral lists this ribosomal RNA (446 nucleotides) under uncultured bacterium. RNAcentral describes it as "bacterial SSU rRNA". It matches the Rfam family "Bacterial small subunit ribosomal RNA", at positions 28 to 483 of the family's 1533-position model. The record is from RNAcentral.
GACGAACGCUGGCGGCGUGCCUAACACAUGCAAGUCGAGCGGAGACAGUGAGUAGUUUGCUAUGAGCUGUUUUAGCGGCGGACGGGUGAGUAACGCGUGAGCAACCUUUCCCAGACAGGGGAAUAACACACCGAAAGGUGUACUAAUACCGCAUAAGACCACGGGAUCACAUGGUUCUGGGGUAAAAGAAUUAUCGGUUUGGGGUGGGCUCGCGUCCGAUUAGGUAGUUGGUGAGGUAACGGCCCACCAAGCCGACGAUCGGUAGCCGACCUGAGAGGGUGAUCGGCCACAUUGGGACUGAGACACGGCCCAAACUCCUACGGGAGGCAGCAGUGGGGAAUAUUGGGCAAUGGGGGGAACCCUGACCCAGCAACGCCGCGUGGAGGAAGAAGGUUUUCGGAUCGUAAACUCCUGUCCUUGGAGACGAGUAGAAGACGGUAUCCAAG